This 443-nucleotide ribosomal RNA is filed under the name uncultured soil bacterium. Its description in RNAcentral is "bacterial SSU rRNA". It matches the Rfam family "Bacterial small subunit ribosomal RNA", at positions 26 to 518 of the family's 1533-position model. The record is from RNAcentral.
AGAACGAACGCUGGCGGCAUGCCUAACACAUGCAAGUCGAACGAGACCUUCGGGUCUAGUGGCGCACGGGUGCGUAACGCGUGGGAAUCUGCCCUUCGGUUCGGAAUAACUCAGGGAAACUUGAGCUAAUACCGGAUAAUGACUUCGGUCCAAAGAUUCAUCGCCGAGGGAUGAGCCCGCGUAGGAUUAGCUUGUUGGUGAGGUAAAGGCUCACCAAGGCGACGAUCCUUAGCUGGUCUGAGAGGAUGAUCAGCCACACUGGGACUGAGACACGGCCCAGACUCCUACGGGAGGCAGCAGUGGGGAAUAUUGGACAAUGGGCGAAAGCCUGAUCCAGCAAUGCCGCGUGAGUGAUGAGGGCCCUAGGGUUGUAAAGCUCUUUACCCGGGAUGAUAAUGACAGUACCGGAGAAUAAGCCCCGCUAACUCCGUGCCAGCAGCCGC